Molecule: ribosomal RNA, 406 nt
Filed under: uncultured bacterium
Lineage: Bacteria
Description: partial 16S ribosomal RNA
Rfam family: Bacterial small subunit ribosomal RNA
Source: RNAcentral
AUUGAACGCUGGCGGCAGGCCUCACACAUGCAAGUCGAGCGAGCGGCGGACGGGUGAGUAAUGUAUGGGAAACUGCCUGAUGGAGGGGGAUAACUCCUUGAAACGGUAGCUAAUACCGCAUACCAUCAGAUGUGCCCAGAUGGGAUUGGCUAGUAUGUUGGGUAACGGCUCACCUUGGCGACGAUCCCUAGCUGGUCUGAGAGGAUGACCAGCCACACUUGAACUGAGACACGGUCCAGACUCCUACGCGAGGCAGCAGUGGGGAAUAUUGCACAAUGGGCGCAAGCCUGAUGCAGCCAUGCCGCGUGUGUGAAGAAGGCCUUCGGGUUGUAAAGCACUUUCAGCGGGGAGGCGUUACCCGCAGAAGAAGCACCGGCUAACUCCGUGCCAGCCGCCGCGGUAAUAC